RNAcentral lists this non-coding RNA (26 nucleotides) under Cricetulus griseus (Chinese hamster). The record is from RNAcentral. Lineage: Eukaryota; Metazoa; Chordata; Mammalia; Rodentia; Cricetidae.
UGUGGAUUUUCUCAAAGAGAAGUAAG